RNAcentral lists this transfer RNA (76 nucleotides) under Parahoeflea alexandrii. RNAcentral describes it as "Hoeflea alexandrii tRNA-Lys". It matches the Rfam family "tRNA". Rfam says of the family: Transfer RNA (tRNA) molecules are approximately 80 nucleotides in length. Their secondary structure includes four short double-helical elements and three loops (D, anti-codon, and T loops). The record is from RNAcentral. Lineage: Bacteria; Pseudomonadati; Pseudomonadota; Alphaproteobacteria; Hyphomicrobiales; Rhizobiaceae. RNAcentral also lists the same sequence under 21 other names.
GGGUGUGUAGCUCAGUUGGUAGAGCAGCUGACUCUUAAUCAGCGGGUCCACGGUUCGAGCCCGUGCUCACCCACCA